GUGGGAGCGAGCCUGCUCGCGAUGGCGGUGCGUCAGUCACUUAGUGGUCGACUGGCAGAUAGCAAUCGCGAGCAGGCUCGCUCCCAC
RNAcentral lists this unclassified non-coding RNA (87 nucleotides) under Pseudomonas mohnii. The record is from RNAcentral. Lineage: Bacteria; Pseudomonadati; Pseudomonadota; Gammaproteobacteria; Pseudomonadales; Pseudomonadaceae.